GUAAAUAACAAAAGGCAGCAGCAGAACAUUUCUCUCUCUAUGCUUCCAGGGAAGCAAGUCUUAUCAAACAAGUCUGAUCUUCUUUUUUUUGAUGGAAAGGGUAUUUCUAUUGAUAAUAAAACAUUUCUGUGCUAAAUGGACUAAACUCAGCAAACAGAUAAUGCUGAGUAGUUGAGAACUAAAAGCCAGCAUCUGUUGUUGAGGUUCCACAGACACUGCCCUCAUCCUUCUCCUGUUCUGUAGCUGAGUGUGGCUUUGAGGCCAGGACAGGGACACUGCACCCCAGCCAGCAGAGCACAGCAGGCACAGGGACAGCAC
RNAcentral lists this long non-coding RNA (318 nucleotides) under Gallus gallus (chicken). Lineage: Eukaryota; Metazoa; Chordata; Aves; Galliformes; Phasianidae. The record is from RNAcentral.